Ceratosolen solmsi marchali is the source of this 288-nucleotide long non-coding RNA. RefSeq lists it as uncharacterized. The record is from RefSeq and is a predicted model, not a curated record. NCBI's taxonomy places the organism in Eukaryota, Metazoa, Arthropoda, Insecta, Hymenoptera, Agaonidae. The transcript is spliced from 3 exons.
CACUAUCAUAUGAAAUAUGGAGUGUUUGUUGCAUGGUGGAUGACUUUGAAUGUGAUAAACAAUUAUGUUGUACGUUAGUGAGAUGAAAUAGUUAUUAAUUUAUGUUAAAUAUUCGUUAAAAUGAACAUUAUAACACAGAGUUUUAAACGUUUAACUGAAACUUUUAUUGGACAAUCUGUAAAAGGAAAUUCUCUAUUUACGUUAUCUAAAUGUAAUUAUACAAAUUAUACUGCAGGAGGAGGUAUAGUGGCAGUAGCUAGAAACUGUUUAUCAAAUACAAUCCAAGGU